This 345-nucleotide unclassified non-coding RNA is filed under the name soil metagenome. RNAcentral's name for it is "partial contains 5.8S ribosomal RNA, internal transcribed spacer 2, and large subunit ribosomal RNA". The stretch from base 1 to 119 matches the Rfam family "5.8S ribosomal RNA", at positions 35 to 154 of the family's 154-position model. The record is from RNAcentral.
GAUGAAGAACGUAGCGAAAUGCGAUACGUAAUGUGAAUUGCAAAUUCAGUGAAUCAUCGAGCCUUUGAACGCACAUUGCGCCCCCUGGUAUUCCGGGGGGCAUGCCUGUCCGAGCGUCAUUGCUGCCCUCAAGCACGGCUUGUGUGUUGGGCCCCGUCCUCCGAUUCCGGGGGACGGGCCCGAAAGGCAGCGGCGGCACCGCGUCCGGUCCUCGAGCGUAUGGGGCUUUGUCACCCGCUCUGUAGGCCCGGCCGGCGCUUGCCGAUCAACCCAAAUUUUUAUCCAGGUUGACCUCGGAUCAGGUAGGGAUACCCGCUGAACUUAAGCAUAUCAAUAAGCGGAGGA